Molecule: ribosomal RNA, 468 nt
Filed under: uncultured bacterium
Lineage: Bacteria
Description: partial 16S ribosomal RNA
Rfam family: Bacterial small subunit ribosomal RNA
Source: RNAcentral
GACGAACGCUGGCGGCGUGCUUAACACAUGCAAGUCGAACGGAAAGGCCCUGCUUUUGUGGGGUGCUCGAGUGGCGAACGGGUGAGUAACACGUGAGUAACCUGCCCUUGACUUUGGGAUAACUUCAGGAAACUGGGGCUAAUACCGGAUAGGAGCUCCUGCUGCAUGGUGGGGGUUGGAAAGUUUCGGCGGUUGGGGAUGGACUCGCGGCUUAUCAGCUUGUUGGUGGGGUAGUGGCUUACCAAGGCUUUGACGGGUAGCCGGCCUGAGAGGGUGACCGGCCACAUUGGGACUGAGAUACGGCCCAGACUCCUACGGGAGGCAGCAGUGGGGAAUAUUGCACAAUGGGCGGAAGCCUGAUGCAGCAACGCCGCGUGCGGGAUGACGGCCUUCGGGUUGUAAACCGCUUUCGCAUGUGACGAAGCGUGAGUGACGGUAAUGGGUAGAGAAGCACCGGCUAACUACGUG